GGGGAAUUUUCCGCAAUGGGCGAAAGCCUGACGGAGCAAUACCGCGUGGGGGAGGAAGGCUCUUGGGUCGUAAACCCCUUUUCUCAGGGAAGAACACAAUGACGGUACCUGAGGAAUCAGCAUCGGCUAACUCCGUGCCAGCAGCCGCGGUAAUACGGAGGAUGCAAGCGUUAUCCGGAAUCAUUGGGCGUAAAGCGUCCGUAGGUGGUGUUUCAAGUCUGCUGUUAAAGCCCGGGGCUCAACCCUGGAGGAGCAGUGGAAACUGGAGUACUGGAGUGCGGUAGGGGUAGAGGGAAUUCCCGGUGUAGCGGUGAAAUGCGUAGAUAUCGGGAAGAACACCAGUGGCGAAAGCGCUCUACUGGACCGUAACUGACACUGAUGGACGAAAGCUAGGGGAGCGAAAGGGAUUAGAUACCCCUG
RNAcentral lists this ribosomal RNA (420 nucleotides) under uncultured Chroococcidiopsis sp. Its description in RNAcentral is "bacterial SSU rRNA". It matches the Rfam family "Bacterial small subunit ribosomal RNA", at positions 356 to 790 of the family's 1533-position model. Lineage: Bacteria; Bacillati; Cyanobacteriota; Cyanophyceae; Chroococcidiopsidales; Chroococcidiopsidaceae. The record is from RNAcentral.